GGGAACUAAUGGAGUUUCUAGCACACCACAAAUUCCUAAAUCUCCUUUGAUUCCUUUUCACAUGCUUAUUGUUGCUAUCAGUGACAAGAUUCCUACUAGUGAUACGAGCCUUAUCCAAGCACAUUAUGAAUUAUAUAAGGCAAAACAAAUUUCUCGUCAUGAUUUUGUGAAGGAAUUAAGGUUGAUAGUUGGAGACGCUAAAUUAAAAGAUACAAUAACAAGUCUUCAAUUCAGGAUACCGUCAAUUGAGGAAUUGAAAUGCUCAAACCAGAAUGAUAGCUAAGUCUAACCAGCUAUGAUGAAUUGAAGAACUUUUCACCAGCUAUGAGGAGUUGAAGAACUUUUCACCGAGACAACUAAUGUCAACUUUUUGUUUGGUAGUCAUCAACAUGAAGUUGUUUUAUUGUUUGCUCUUAGGAAAACUGUGUUUUACACCACUUUUUCAUUUAUUUCUAUUCAUGCUUUGCUACUAUAAUUUCAUUAGAACUUAUUUUGUAACCAUUUAGACUCACCAUGUGUUAGAGUUUUAUAAUAAAAGUCGUUAGUUGGAUAGUGGGAUGUUCAUUUC
Lotus japonicus is the source of this 568-nucleotide long non-coding RNA. RefSeq lists it as uncharacterized. The record is from RefSeq and is a predicted model, not a curated record. The transcript has 3 exons. Lineage: Eukaryota; Viridiplantae; Streptophyta; Magnoliopsida; Fabales; Fabaceae.